RNAcentral lists this ribosomal RNA (1966 nucleotides) under human gut metagenome. Its description in RNAcentral is "bacterial LSU rRNA". It matches the Rfam family "Bacterial large subunit ribosomal RNA", at positions 3 to 1991 of the family's 2925-position model. The record is from RNAcentral.
UCAAGCUAAUAAGAGCACAGGGUGGAUGCCCAGGCACCAAACGCCGAAGAAAGACGUGGCAAGCUGCGAAAAGUCACGGGGAACCGCAAGCAGGUAUUGAUCCGUGAACGUCUGAAUGGGGAAACCCGGCGGGUUAACAGCCCGUCACUAUUAACUGAAUCAAUAGGUUAAUAGGGGGAACGCGGGGAACUGAAACAUCUCAGUACCCGUAGGAAGAGAAAAUAAAGAAUGAUUUCCUAAGUAGCGGCGAGCGAACGGGAAAGAGGCCAAACCGAAGGGCUUGCUCUUCGGGGUUGUGGAUCAGCAAAAAGGACGGAAGACCUUAGCAGAAGAGGAUUGGAAAGUCCCGCCAGAGAGGGUAAAAGCCCCUUACGCGAAAAGGUCAAACGACGAGCUGACACCAGAGUACCGCAGGACACGAGAAAUCCGGUGGGAAGCCGGGAGGACCACCUCCCAAGCCUAAAUACGAAUUGGUGACCGAUAGCGCAUAGUACCGUGAGGGAAAGGUGAAAAGAACCCCGGGAGGGGAGUGAAAAAGAACCUGAAACCCUGUGUUUACAAGCAGUGAAAGUGCGAGCAAGGCACGAUCACGUACUUUUUGUAGAACGGACCGGCGAGUUACGUUAUGCAGCAAGGUUAAGAACUGAAGGUUCGGAGCCGAAGCGAAAGCGAGUCUGAAUAGGGCGAUAGUUGCAUGACGUAGACCCGAAACCGGGUGACCUAUCCAUGAGCAGGUUGAAGUGGAGGUAAAGCUCCAUGGAGGACCGAACCAGACGUCUGUUGAAAAAGGCGGGGAUGACUUGUGGAUAGGGGAGAAAUUCCAAUCGAACCCGGAGAUAGCUGGUUCUCCUCGAAAUAGCUUUAGGGCUAGCCUCAUGGAUCAUUGGUGGGGGUAGAGCACUGAAUGUGCGCGGGGGCCACAAAGCCUACCAAACGCUAUCAAACUACGAAUACCAUACAAUGCAGACCAUGGGAGUCAGUCCGCGAGAGAUAAGUUCCGCGGGCAAAAGGGGAACACCCCAGAUCAACCGCUAAGGUCCCCAAGUUCACGUUAAGUGGAGAAGGAUGUGGAAUUGCACAGACAACCAGGAUGUUGGCUCAGAAGCAGCCACACAUUUAAAGAGUGCGUAAUAGCUCACUGGUCGAGUGAUUGUGCGCCGAAGAUGUCCGGGGCUAAACGUGACACCGAAGCGAUGGGUGCGUCUGAAGAAGAUGCGCGGUAGAGGAGCAAUGUGCAGAGGCAGAAGCCGUAUCGAGAGGCACGGUGGACACUGCACAAGAGAGAAUGCCGGUAUGAGUAGCGAGAGGCAUGCGAGAAACAUGCCCGUCGAAAGCCCAAGGUUUCCUGGGGAAGGUUCAUCCGCCCAGGGUAAGUCGGGGCCUAAGCCGAGGACGGAAGUCGUAGGCGAUGGACAGCAGGUGUAGAUUCCUGCACUACCGAUGGAAUGAAGCAGUGACACAGAAGGAUAACUCGAGCAGGGUGAUGGUCAACCCUGUGCAAGCAUCAAGGUUGGGUUGUAGUGAAGUACGCAACCCUACAAGCUGAGGUGUGAUGCGGACCGAAAUUUCAGUAGGGAAGCGAGUGAGUUCACGCUGGCGAGAAAAGCUGCUAGUACAUCCAAAGGUACCCGUACCGGAAACCGACGCAGGUGGGCGAGGAGAGAAUCCUGAGACGAACGGGAGAACCCUUGUUAAGGAACUCGGCAAAAUGACCCCGUAACUUCGGGAUAAGGGGUGCCUGCGAGAGCAGGCCGCAGAGAAUAGUCACAAGCGACUGUUUAGCAAAAACACAGGUAUCUGCGAAAGCGAGAGCUGACGUAUAGGUGCUGACACCUGCCCGGUGCUGGAAGGUUAAGGGAACAUGUUAGAGCAAUCGAAGCAUCGAACCGAAGCCCCAGUAAACGGCGGCCGUAACUAUAACGGUCCUAAGGUAGCGAAAUUCCUUGUCGGGUAAGUUCCGACCCGC